UAUUUCAGCAACUUAAAAAGAAUAUUUCAAGUUGGUGUCAAAAUGGAGCCUGCAUUUAGUGGCAGUGGCAAUAAUUUUGACAGCAAAAUUUAUCUUUAUAGAAAUGAAAAAAAAAAUGCUAUUCAUAGCCUUUUAACUAAUCCCGUUAGCUUUAAAAUCUAUUUAUCCAAAUCUGUUUUCAUAUUUUAAUUAAUUUUAUAAUUUAUCUUUGUUAGGCAUCCAAUUACAGGGUUUUGGCUAGAUGUUUCCAAUUAGCAUUCUCCCUUCGAAGCAUCUCUUUGGAGCAAGAAGGUAUCUAUUGAAAAGAAGAGACUACUUGCUGUUCAUGAAGCUGGUCAUGUUAUGUUAGCUCACUUAUUUCCUCGGUUUGACUGGCAUGCAUUUUCGCAGCUCCUGCCUGGUGGUAAGAGUCCUUUAGGCUUGAAGCAAGGAGAAUGCACAAGCACACUUACCUUGUGUUCGAAUAUAACUAAUUGAUUUUAUUCAAAAAAGGGUGCUGCCAAGAAUUGAACAGUAGACCACUUACUCAUGGAAGCUUCCUGUAGGGAUUGCACUCCCGCUCUUUACUAUAAUUGGGUUGUUGCUGAUUCUAUGGCAUUGCAAAGCAAAACGCAGUAUUGUUCUUUACUCAAAUCCAGAACCAGAGAGUUGCAGUGUAUACUUUGGGAUCCCUGUCUUCUCCUAUAAGGAUCUCCUAUAAUGCAAAAUAAAAGAUAAAAUGUUGUCAAAGCAACUAUUGAUAGGUAUAAGAAAUCAUGUUCAGAUUCAUCUGGUGCUGGAUCUGCUUCCGAGAUUAAUGCUCAGUAUUACCAGCAAGAAGUAGAAAAACUGUGUGCCUAAAUUAGUAACCUGCAGAAUAACAAAUUUUGAAUGCUAUUGGGAGUUUGAGACAGAUAUUUAAGCAUUUCAAUCAAAAAUAGAAAGAUUCAAUAAAUUUCGGUCCAUCAAACUUGCCUCCAUGAAGCAAAGAAGCAGUGUUAAGAAUGAUGUUGAAUUAAAGAAUUAGAAUAUGUAAAUUUCGGUCUAGAUUCAGCAAACUUGACUCCUACAUGUCUCUUUUAUAUUUCUUGAUUUGGUUACAUAA
Arachis duranensis is the source of this 1084-nucleotide long non-coding RNA. RefSeq lists it as uncharacterized. The record is from RefSeq and is a predicted model, not a curated record. NCBI's taxonomy places the organism in Eukaryota, Viridiplantae, Streptophyta, Magnoliopsida, Fabales, Fabaceae. The transcript is spliced from 5 exons.